CAAGCACUUGUGAGCAAGAGCUAAUCACUGGAUUUACAAGCAUUUGCCAGAGGUGACACCGACUCAUGUCUGUGCCAGCGUGGAUCACAGCUGAAGGUCUCGAGGACAGACAGAGAUCGGGACCCCUGUCCUGGCAGCGGUCAUGCCCUUUAGUCUCUGCACACUGUGUUUUCCCCUCUCUGGUGAUCCCAGGCGCACGGACGGGAUCAUUCAGAGCUCACAUCCCGGCCCUAGUCUUUCUGCCUGGGAUCUGAACUCACCCUAUAGCUCCGGCCUCUUGCUUGCAGCUGAG
Long non-coding RNA from Puntigrus tetrazona (Sumatra barb), 292 nucleotides. RefSeq lists it as uncharacterized. The transcript has 3 exons. The record is from RefSeq and is a predicted model, not a curated record. NCBI's taxonomy places the organism in Eukaryota, Metazoa, Chordata, Actinopteri, Cypriniformes, Cyprinidae.